UUGGAGGGCAAGUCUGGUGCCAGCAGCCGCGGUAAUUCCAGCUCCAAUAGCGUAUAUUAAAGUUGUUGCAGUUAAAAAGCUCGUAGUUGAAUUUCGGGACCAAUUUGUUGGUCGUGCCUCGGUACGUACUGGUAUUAUUGGUUUCUACCUUCUGAAGAACCUUGAUGUCAUUAAUUUGGUGUCUUGGGGAAUCAGGACUGUUACUUUGAAAAAAUUAGAGUGUUUAAAGCAAGCAUACGCUUGAAUACAUUAGCAUGGAAUAAUGAAAUAGGACGUUUGAUUCUAUUUUGUUGGUUUCUAGGAUCGACGUAAUGAUUAAUAGGGAUAGUUGGGGGCAUUAGUAUUCAAUUGUCAGAGGUGAAAUUCUUGGAUUUAUUGAAGACUAACUACUGCGAAAGCAUUUGCCAAGGAUGUUUUCAUUAAUCAAGAACGAAAGUUAGGGGAUCGAAGACGAUCAGAUACCGUCGUAGUCUUAACCAUAAACUAUGCCGACUAGGGAUCGGAUGAUGUUAAUUUUUUAAUGACUCAUUCGGCGCCUUACGGGAAAC
Molecule: ribosomal RNA, 548 nt
Filed under: uncultured Glomus
Lineage: Eukaryota; Fungi; Glomeromycota; Glomeromycetes; Glomerales; Glomeraceae
Also listed under: 1 other name
Description: SSU rRNA
Rfam family: Eukaryotic small subunit ribosomal RNA
Source: RNAcentral